AGAGAGUGUUUUUGCGCCUCUUUCUGUCAAAAGAUAGACCCUCUAGGUCGACUAAAUCCUUAUAUAGUUUAUAAAAAUAACAUAAAAUUGGCCCAGGCCCACGCUGACCGUGCUCAGCGCUAAAAUGACGCUCAACGGUAGGUGUGGCACUUAGAAGGACACUCAGUGGUGGCGCCCAAGCGUGAGAUAGAGAACUCAUCACCAAGACUGGUGCUCAGCGACAAAGUGGCGUGCAACAGUGAGUGCGGUACUUUGAUUUGGCCCUCAGCGUUGGCGCUCAAGCGUCAAAUAGUGAACUCAACAACAAACUUGGCGCUCA
Molecule: long non-coding RNA, 319 nt
Filed under: Vigna radiata
Lineage: Eukaryota; Viridiplantae; Streptophyta; Magnoliopsida; Fabales; Fabaceae
Description: long non-coding RNA (VRAD_LNC011821)
Source: RNAcentral